RNAcentral lists this non-coding RNA (28 nucleotides) under Rattus norvegicus (Norway rat). The record is from RNAcentral. Lineage: Eukaryota; Metazoa; Chordata; Mammalia; Rodentia; Muridae.
UUGGAAGUGUGUGUGUAUAUGUAUAUAG